RNAcentral lists this ribosomal RNA (262 nucleotides) under uncultured bacterium. RNAcentral's name for it is "partial 16S ribosomal RNA". It matches the Rfam family "Bacterial small subunit ribosomal RNA", at positions 524 to 789 of the family's 1533-position model. The record is from RNAcentral.
UACGGGGGGGCAAGCGUUGUUCGGAAUCACUGGGCGUAAAGCGCACGUAGGCGGAUUGCUAAGUCAGGGGUGAAAUCCUGGAGCUCAACUCCAGAACUGCUUUGAUACUGGCGACCUGAGUCGGGAGAGGUGAGUGGAACUGCGAGUGUAGAGGUGAAAUUCGUAGAUAUUCGCAAGAACACCAGUGGCGAAGGCGGACUCACUGGCCCGGUACUGACGCUGAGGUGCGAAAGCGUGGGAGCAACAGGGAUUAAGAUACCUU